UACAGAGGGAGCAAGCGUUAUUCGGAAUUAUUGGGCGUAAAGGGCGCGUAGGCGGCUUGGCAAGUGGAAGGUGAAAUCCCUCGGCUUAACCGAGGAACUGCCUUCCAGACUGUUAGGCUUGAGACCGGGAGAGGUGAGUGGAAUUCCCAGUGUAGCGGUGAAAUGCGUAGAUAUUGGGAGGAACACCAGUGGCGAAGGCGGCUCACUGGACCGGUACUGACGCUGAGGCGCGAAAGCGUGGGGAGCAAACGGG
RNAcentral lists this ribosomal RNA (253 nucleotides) under uncultured bacterium. RNAcentral describes it as "partial 16S ribosomal RNA". It matches the Rfam family "Bacterial small subunit ribosomal RNA", at positions 524 to 776 of the family's 1533-position model. The record is from RNAcentral.